CAAUAGCGUAUAUUUAAGUUGUUGCAGUUAAAAAGCUCGUAGUUGGAUUUCGGAUGGGACUUGCCGGUCCGUCGUUUCGACGUGCACUGGCCAGUCCUAUCUUGUUGUCGGGGACUAGCUCCUGGGCUUCACUGUCCGGGACUAGGAGCUGACGAGGUUACUUUGAGUAAAUUAGAGUGUUCAAAGCAAGCCUACGCUCUGAAUACAUUAGCAUGGAAUAACACGAUAGGACUCUGGCUUAUCUUGUUGGUCUGUGAGACCAGAGUAAUGAUUAAGAGGGACAGUCGGGGACAUUCGUAUUUCAUUGUCAGAGGUGAAAUUCUUGGAUUUAUGAAAGACGAACUUCUGCGAAAGCAUUUGUCAAGGAUGUUUUCAUUAA
Molecule: ribosomal RNA, 379 nt
Filed under: uncultured eukaryote
Lineage: Eukaryota
Description: partial 18S ribosomal RNA
Rfam family: Eukaryotic small subunit ribosomal RNA
Source: RNAcentral